AUUGAACGCUGGCGGCAUGCUUUACACAUGCAAGUCGAACGGCAGCGCGGGCUUCGUCCUGGCUGCGCGUGGCGCACGGGUGUGUAAUGCAUCGGAACGUCCCCAGCUGUGGGGGAUGGCCCCGCCAGAGCCCUAUUAAUACCGCCUACUACCUGAGCCUGCAAGCGGGUGACCGAAAGGCCUCGCGCUCUUUUAGCGGCCGACGUCGGACUUGCCAGUUUGUGGGGUAAAGGCUUACCAAGGCGACCAUCCGUAGCUGGUCUGAGAGGACGGUCGGCCGCACUGGAGCUGGGACACGGCCAAGGGUACUAAGGGAGGCAGCAGUGGGGAAUGUUAGACAAUGGGGGCAACCCUGAUCCAGCCAUGCCGCGUGCGAGAAGAAGGCCUUCGGGUUGUAAACCGCUUUUGUUCGGGAAGAAAUGCUCUGGGCUAAUACCACGGGGGGAUGACGGUACCGGAAGAAUAAGCACCGGCUAACUACGUG
This 484-nucleotide ribosomal RNA is filed under the name uncultured bacterium. RNAcentral's name for it is "partial 16S ribosomal RNA". It matches the Rfam family "Bacterial small subunit ribosomal RNA", at positions 28 to 507 of the family's 1533-position model. The record is from RNAcentral.